CGCUCGGAGAUCCGCAAAGCGCCUCGCUCCAUAAGAGUGUCACCACGAACAGCAGCUCCAUGGUGGUGUUCGGGCUCCUCCAGCGACGCCACAUCAGCCGGGGAUGCGCGUGCCGCUGCUGCCGGAGGAUCGCACAGGAAUGCCGAUGAGACACGAAGAAGAACCGAGAGCAGCCGAGCGCGUGACGUAGGACAAGGGAGAGCAGCCAACGGCAGUGGCGCGCCCCCUAGGGGCGGAGCUUGUGGUCACCUCUCUUUAUCCCGCCCGAGAUGCAUGCGUCUCAUUGAGCUAAUGAACAUUUUACUUAAUCUCCCCCUUCAAACGAAAAUCAAGAAGUUUGUCUUUAAUUAAAAUUUGUGUUGGGUUUGUCCAUAAUCCAAGUGGAUAACAUGGAUGUGUAGAGUUCUGAUUGCAGAUUUUCUGUAUGGUCUUUUGCAAUUUUUGAGUGAUUUGUGAAUUAUUUAUUUUAAAUAAUAAUGAUUGUAUUGCACUGGUAAAUCGUGGCAUAUGUUUCUCUUUUUUUUCUGAUCUAACAUAAAAAAGGAUUAGAUAGCCUCUUCAGAUGGAAAAUAUUGUGUGGAUUUAUUUUAUAUUUGAAAAUUUAAAAAAAGUAAAAUAAAAUCCUGAUGAUUAA
Long non-coding RNA from Gasterosteus aculeatus aculeatus (three-spined stickleback), 634 nucleotides. RefSeq lists it as uncharacterized. Lineage: Eukaryota; Metazoa; Chordata; Actinopteri; Perciformes; Gasterosteidae. The record is from RefSeq and is a predicted model, not a curated record.